This 469-nucleotide ribosomal RNA is filed under the name uncultured soil bacterium. RNAcentral's name for it is "bacterial SSU rRNA". It matches the Rfam family "Bacterial small subunit ribosomal RNA", at positions 86 to 556 of the family's 1533-position model. The record is from RNAcentral.
CAAGGGCAACCGGCGAACGGGUGCGUAACACGUGAGCAACCUACCGAUUUGAGGGGGAUAGCCGGCCUAACGGCCGAGUAAUACCGCAUACGCUCUCGAUGAGGCAUUUCAUUGAGAGGAAACCUACGGGACAUUUCGAGGGGCUCGCGGCCUAUCAGCUAGUUGGAGAGGUAACGGCUCACCAAGGCAACGACGGGUAGCUGGUCUGAGAGGAUGGCCAGCCACAUUGGGACUGAGAUACGGCCCAGACUCCUACGGGAGGCAGCAGUGGGGAAUCUUGCGCAAUGGCCUAACGGCUGACGCAGCGACGCCGCGUGUGGGAUGAAGCUCUUCGGAGUGUAAACCACUGUUGCCCGGGACGAAUAGCUCGAUUAAUCGAGCCUGACGGUACCGGGUGAGGAAGCACCGGCUAACUCCGUGCCAGCAGCCGCGGUAAUACGGGGGGUGCGAGCGUUGUCCGGAAUCACUG